AGCAGAAUGAUAUGGUCUGGAUCUGUAUCUCCACCAAAUCUUAUGUUGAAUUUUAGUCCCUAAUUUUGGAGGUGGGGCCUGGUGGGAGGUGAUUGGAUCAUGAGGGCAGAUUUCUCGUGACUGGUUUACACCAUCUCCCCGAUACUGUACUUGUGAUCAUGGGAGAACAUAAGAAUUCCUUUUGUUUUUUGCCUACUCUUCUCCUACCACCUCUUUUCUACUACAAUGUUAUGAUAAGAGCAGCUGCCUUGGCAGUUUCUAAUUGCAGAUGUGGAAUCUAUUUCAAAUGAGUAAACUCUCCAAAGAAAAGUGUACUUGUUUUUGGCCACAGGAAUCUUAAGUGACUUAAUUAACAGCUCCCUCUUUGCCUUCUAACACAAUUGGAAGCUGUGUAAGACCUCACCAGAAGCAGACACCAGCACGAUGCUUCCUGUACACCCUGCAGAACUGUAAGCCAAUUAAACCUCUUUUCUUUAUGAAUUACA
This 485-nucleotide long non-coding RNA is filed under the name Homo sapiens (human). RNAcentral's name for it is "HSALNT0069891". Lineage: Eukaryota; Metazoa; Chordata; Mammalia; Primates; Hominidae. The record is from RNAcentral.